GACGAACGCUGGCGGCGUGCUUAACACAUGCAAGUCGAACGGAAAUUCCCUGCUUUUGUCUUGUGCUCGAGUGGCGAACGGGUGAGUAACACGUGAGUAACCUGCCCUUUACUUUGGGAUACCUUCAGGAAACUGAGGCUAAUACCGGAUAUGAUCUCCUGCUGCAUGGUGUGGGUUGUAAAGUUUCGGGGGUUGGGGAUUGACUCGCGGCUUAUGAGCUUGUUGGUGGGGUAGUGGCUUACGAAGGCUGUGACGGGUAGCCGGCCUGGGAGGUUGACCGGCCACAAGGGGACUGAGGGACGGCCCAGACGGCUACGGGAGGCAGCAGUGGGGAAUAUGGCACAAUGGGCGGAAGCCUGAGGCAGCAACGCCGCGUGCGGGAUGACGGCCUUCGGGUGGUAAACCGCGUCCGCCUGUGACGAAGCGUGAGUGACGGUAAUGAGUAAAGAAGCACCGGCUAACUACGUG
Molecule: ribosomal RNA, 468 nt
Filed under: uncultured bacterium
Lineage: Bacteria
Description: partial 16S ribosomal RNA
Rfam family: Bacterial small subunit ribosomal RNA
Source: RNAcentral